Molecule: transfer RNA, 73 nt
Filed under: Stegodyphus mimosarum
Lineage: Eukaryota; Metazoa; Arthropoda; Arachnida; Araneae; Eresidae
Rfam family: tRNA
About the family: Transfer RNA (tRNA) molecules are approximately 80 nucleotides in length. Their secondary structure includes four short double-helical elements and three loops (D, anti-codon, and T loops). Further hydrogen bonds mediate the characteristic L-shaped molecular structure. tRNAs have two regions of fundamental functional importance: the anti-codon, which is responsible for specific mRNA codon recognition, and the 3' end, to which the tRNAs corresponding amino acid is attached (by aminoacyl-tRNA synthetases). tRNAs cope with the degeneracy of the genetic code in two manners: having more than one tRNA (with a specific anti-codon) for a particular amino acid; and 'wobble' base-pairing, i.e. permitting non-standard base-pairing at the 3rd anti-codon position.
Source: Rfam by way of RNAcentral
ACCUUCGUGGUGUAAUGGUCAGCACACUUGGCGGGUAUUCAAAAGGACCGAGGUUCGAGUCCUGGCGAGGGUC